CAGUAGCGUCGUGUCGCGGACGAAGAGGACCGGACCAAGCUGGACUAGAAUAGAGGCACCCUAUCGCCAGCGCCUCUCGGACUCGGAGCAGAGCCUCCGCUGUUGCUAUGAGACACCACAGAGCUCUCCACGUCGUUCGUCCUGCUGUCGUACGUCACCGACCGGUUCAUGCUCCCCUGCGACCACGCGAACCUUCCGGAGACGGCGACGAGGGGAUUAGCGUCAGUGGCGACCCCCUCCGUGCCCGCCGGCGCCCCGGCCGUGGAGCCCCUGUGGGCUGCUUGCCUCCACCCGUCUCCCCGGCGCGAGCUACUCGCCACAGACUCCCCCGCCGUGCUCCACCUGUAACGCAUCUCGAGUUCUCCGCCGUUCUCGGCCUGAAUCCUGAGACUGGGAAGUUUGUGUCUGAAAGCGUGGAGGAACAAAUUUCAAUUGUUUUAAAUAUAGCUUACAAUUUUGAGCUACCAAGAAGUUCUUGCAGAUUAACUGAUGUCUCAAAUGUGAAUAUAUUUUUGGGUAGUUCCGAACACACUGUUUUACAUGUUGUAUAUCUGAGAAUGAUUAGAAUAUUUAUCAUGUGCUAUAUGAAAGCACAUGCAACAACGAAUAAUUGCCAUAUUGAAUCUGCAUCUGUAAACUACAUAAUUCUUUCCUGACAGACAUUCAUAGGAAUAUAGGAUCACAUCUUCCUUUGCAAGUUGCAUUCAGUAAAGAACCAUCCACUGUAUCUGCUGUAAGGCGCUAUUUUCCGACAUUUGUCUUUGUUUAUAUCCUCUUCUGUCUCAGGUAAUGAAGAACAUGGGCAAAAUAUUGAAAGCAAAUGGUGCUAGCUACUCUUCAGUUGUGAAGGCAACAAUCAUGUUGGCUGAUCUACAGGACUUCAAGAAAGCGUAUAGUUAUUCCAUUCUUGAACCAUGGAACCAUGGCACGGGGAUCCUCUGACGUACUACACGGUUGCUGACACGUGGGGCCUGGGCCCACAUGUCAGCGGGCGUGCAGUACGUCAGAGGAACUCGGUUCGGAGCCAUGAGGGUGCUGUAAACUAGGUAUCUUGAGGGCAUCAGAAUUCGGGAGCAGCAUGUUGUUAACAUAUUUCUGAAGAUAUCAACAUUCUUCCUACAGAUUUCCCGGCCCCCACACCUGCAUGCUCGGCUUACCAAGUUGCGACCCUUCCAUUGAAUGCCAGGAUCGAGAUCGAGUGCAUUGCUGCUCUCUAAUUAGGUUUGAGUGCAAACUAUCAAUAAGUGUUUCGACCAUGUCAAUGUAGUUCUUCAGUGUCCUGAAAUACAUUAGUUGAUGGUACAAGUUCUUAAGUGUCACUCAGAUGAGACCACCGCAGCGGGAACAUAUAAGGAUGACAGAGCAAGAAAACAGCAGAGCCACUAUGGCAAUGGCUAAACAUGAUACUCUCUCUUCCUCCACUGCUGUUACAGAGAAUUGAAUAUAAUAGACUAAUAGAGGUUCAUCAAGAUUUGAAGUGCAGAUUUUGACAUAACUGAUGUGCAGCAAGACCACGCCCUGGCCGUCGAGAGCUUGGCGCCGGAGCUGGUUGAUCUGAGGUUCGAGCUCUGCCUGAGCCACAUGAGCGAGGGCUGCUUCUGGAAGAUAUACUUCGUGCUGCUGCAUUCUAAGCUCAAGAAGGAGGAUGCUGAGAUUCUGUCGACUCCGCAGGUAAUUUUGCCUUGAUAUAAUCUGAGGUAGCAAUAUAAGUUCACUAAGUUAACUGAGGAUUUUUCCUUGACAUAAGUUCACUAAGUUAGCCACUGUCAAUGGUUCACUAAGUUCACUCGGAGGUAUAACAGCAUGCAAUUUAUUAGCUGAUGUUUCCAAUGCUGUAUUUGGAAUCAUGGAAAAUUGCAGUGACAAGAAACUUAGUGCAAAUAGAUAUUAAAUGCACUAUGAUUUGAUAUCUCUUUCACCUCAGGUUACAUGUGCAGGUAAGGCACUCGUGCUUAUAUGGCAAUUACAAUGGUAGACAUGAAAUAUGAUCAAAAUGUAUAUAAACAGUUUGUAUUUCUACAUAAACGUUGCAUCAUAAUUAUGAGUUUAAACUGAGUACAACAUUUCAUUUGAAGGAAGAAGGAAUGCACUUGCAUCGUCCUUCCUUCAAAUGAAAUGUUCCUUGAGAGAUACAAACUUGCAUCCUCCUUCCUUCAAAUGAAAUGUUGUACUGUUUUGGGAAAAUGGUCACUCUUCACAUUAGUCGAUGUUCUAUCUGUAACUUGAUUAUCAGUUUGACCUCACUCUGGAAUUUGACUCCCUCGCCGCUCACAUUCUCCU
Molecule: RNA transcript, 2280 nt
Organism: Phragmites australis (common reed)
Lineage: Eukaryota; Viridiplantae; Streptophyta; Magnoliopsida; Poales; Poaceae
Gene name: reactive Intermediate Deaminase A, chloroplastic-like
Exons: 3
Source: RefSeq, a predicted model, not a curated record